CCUACGGGUGGCAGCAGUAGGGAAUAUUGCUCAAUGGGGGAAACCCUGAAGCAGCAACGCCGCGUGGGGGAUGAAGGUUUUCGGAUUGUAAACUCCUUUUGUUAGAGAAGAUAAUGACGGUAUCUAACGAAUAAGCACCGGCUAACUCCGUGCCAGCAGCCGCGGUAAUACGGAGGGUGCAAGCGUUACUCGGAAUCACUGGGCGUAAAGAGCGCGGAGGCGGGAUAGCAAGUCAGAUGUGAAAUCCUAUGGCUUAACCAUAGAACUGCAUUUGAAACUGUUGUUCUAGAGUAUGGGAGAGGUAGGUGGAAUUCUAGGUGUAGGGGUAAAAUGCGUAGAGAUCAAGAGGAAUACUCAUUGCGAAGGCGACCUGCUAGAACAUAACUGACGCUGAUGCGCGAAAGCGUGGGGAGCAAACAGGAUUAGAUACCCGGGUAGUC
RNAcentral lists this ribosomal RNA (440 nucleotides) under uncultured bacterium. RNAcentral's name for it is "partial 16S ribosomal RNA". It matches the Rfam family "Bacterial small subunit ribosomal RNA", at positions 338 to 795 of the family's 1533-position model. The record is from RNAcentral.